AUAAUCUUCAUUCACAAAUGUAUACUCUAGCAAAAUGUGACCAAUGUCAGCUGAUGAGUGAUGGUCAUGUUAACAUCGAUCACAACAGGACAAUAUUACAACAAAGUAACUUCAAAUUCUGUCAAUACGCUGUAAUAUAACAAAUUCAUUUAUACCACAGUGUCCUCUAAGAUAACUCACCUUGCUCUUCAUGUUCUAUAGCCAACCGCAAGCUUCAAAAGGUCAGCCGAACAGAACAACAACAAAAUUGAAGAGACUUUGGGCAUAGAGAGAAGAUGUCGGGAUGUAGCAGUAAGAGGUGACUGUGACUCCAUUCAAACAUAGACUUAAGCUUUAAAGAAAGGAAGGCUCAUGUAAGAGAACGAGCAUAACAAUUGCAGAGCUUUCCAAUCAAGCAAUUUACUGCAAUCAAAAUCUUGCCUUUGUGGGCUGUAUCAGAGCUAAUGAGCGCGCUUUCCAGGCUAAAAGACUUAUUUGGCAUUCAUAAUCAAACAAGUCGACUUGUUCCCAAACUAAGGACACAGUCAAUACAGCCAACACAGAUGGAUAUCCUCACCGCAUAAAGAGGACAUUUUCAACUGAUAACAUAGAUUCAUCAGCCAACAUUGAUAAUCCAAACUGAAGCCUACAAGUAAUGGCAGUUCCAAUUUUCUCCUGCAUAAAAAAGAAAGACAAAU
This 677-nucleotide long non-coding RNA is filed under the name Olea europaea subsp. europaea. The record is from RNAcentral. Lineage: Eukaryota; Viridiplantae; Streptophyta; Magnoliopsida; Lamiales; Oleaceae.